ACAGUGGACACAGGUGGUGCAUGGUUGUCGUCAGCUCGUGUCGUGAGAUGUUGGGUUAAGUCCCGCAACGAGCGCAACCCUUGUCUUUAGUUGCCAGCAUUAAGUUGGGCACUCUAGAGAGACUGCCGAUGACAAAUCGGAGGAAGGUGGGGAUGACGUCAAAUCAUCAUGCCCUUUAUGUCCUGGGCUACACACGUGCUACAAUGGUCGGUACAACGAGAAGCAAGCUAGCGAUAGCAAGCAAAUCUCUAAAAGCCGAUCCCAGUUCGGAUUGCAGGCUGCAACUCGCCUGCAUGAAGUCGGAGUUGCUAGUAAUCGCGGAUCAGAAUGCCGCGGUGAAUGCGUUCCCGGGUCUU
This 356-nucleotide ribosomal RNA is filed under the name uncultured Eubacteriales bacterium. Its description in RNAcentral is "bacterial SSU rRNA". It matches the Rfam family "Bacterial small subunit ribosomal RNA", at positions 1025 to 1382 of the family's 1533-position model. Lineage: Bacteria; Bacillati; Bacillota; Clostridia; Eubacteriales. The record is from RNAcentral.